Molecule: ribosomal RNA, 232 nt
Filed under: uncultured bacterium
Lineage: Bacteria
Description: partial 16S ribosomal RNA
Rfam family: Bacterial small subunit ribosomal RNA
Source: RNAcentral
UGGGCAACCUGCCCCAGACUCAGGGAUAACCCCGGGGAAACCGGGGCUAAUACCCGAUACUCCGGUCGAACCACAUGGCUCGAUCGGGAAAGCUCCGACGGUCUGGGAUGGGCCCGCGGCCUAUCAGCUUGUUGGUGGGGUAACGGCCUACCAAGGCGACGACGGGUAGCUGGUCUGAGAGGGCGACCGGCCACACUGGGACUGAGACACGGCCCAGACCUCCGUACGGGAG